RNAcentral lists this ribosomal RNA (279 nucleotides) under uncultured bacterium. Its description in RNAcentral is "partial small subunit ribosomal RNA". It matches the Rfam family "Bacterial small subunit ribosomal RNA", at positions 26 to 288 of the family's 1533-position model. The record is from RNAcentral.
AGAAUCAACGCUGGCGGCGUGCCUCAGACAUGCAAGUCGAACGCGAAAGUCCCCUUCGGGGGCGAGUAGAGUGGCGCACGGGUGAGUAACACGUAGGUAAUCUACCUUUGGAUGGGGAAGUAACAAUCGGAAACGAUUGCUAAUACCGCAUAAUGCAGCGGCACCUAAUGGUGACAGUUGUUAAAGCGGGGGAUCGAAAGACCUCGCGUCUAAAGAGGAGCCUGCGGCGGAUUAGCUAGUUGGUAAGGUAAUGGCUUACCAAGGCGACGAUCCGUAACC